This 78-nucleotide transfer RNA is filed under the name Acidobacteriota bacterium. Its description in RNAcentral is "Acidobacteria bacterium (sponge metagenome) tRNA-Arg". It matches the Rfam family "tRNA". From Rfam's summary of the family: Transfer RNA (tRNA) molecules are approximately 80 nucleotides in length. Lineage: Bacteria; Pseudomonadati; Acidobacteriota. The record is from RNAcentral.
GCGCGUGUAGCUCAGUUGGAUUAGAGCGGCCGCCUCCUAAGCGGCAGGCCCCCGGUUCGAGUCCGGGCACGCGCGCCA